Molecule: long non-coding RNA, 203 nt
Organism: Carlito syrichta (Philippine tarsier)
Lineage: Eukaryota; Metazoa; Chordata; Mammalia; Primates; Tarsiidae
Exons: 3
Source: RefSeq, a predicted model, not a curated record
AAUCAGCAAUUAUCUGGGUACUAAUAUUUUCUCUGAAUUUUCCUAGUCGGCGAGGAGAAUGUGGAGGAAACCUCCUGUGAAUCAGAAUCGCGUACUCCCCAGAUGCCACCCAGUGCGGAGGAUAGUGAUUUAUACCACAGAGAGGUUUGGAGAGGAUGUCCCAUCCAGGAACCCUUAACAGACCCACUUCACUCUAAGUGGUU